AGUCGAGCGGGUAGCACAGUAGAGCUUGCUCUCGGGUGACGAGCGGCGGACGGGUGAGUAAUGUCUGGGAAACUGCCUGAUGGAGGGGGAUAACUACUGGAAACGGUAGCUAAUACCGCAUAACGUCGCAAGACCAAAGUGGGGGACCUUCGGGCCUCAUGCCAUCAGAUGUGCCCAGAUGGGAUUAGCUGGUAGGUGGGGUAACGGCUCACCUAGGCGACGAUCCCUAGCUGGUCUGAGAGGAUGACCAGCCACACUGGAACUGAGACACGGUCCAGACUCCUACGGGAGGCAGCAGUGGGGAAUAUUGCACAAUGGGCGCAAGCCUGAUGCAGCCAUGCCGCGUGUGUGAAGAAGGCCUUCGGGUUGUAAAGCACUUUCAGCGGGGAGGANGGCGNUGAGGUUANUANCCUCAUCGAUNGACGUUACCNGCAGAAGANGCACCGNCUAAYUCNGUGCNAGCAGCCGCGGUWAUACGGAGGGUGCMAGCGUUAWUCGGAAUUACUGGGCGUAAAGCGCACGCAGGCGGUCUGUCAAGUCGGAUGUGAAAUCCCCGGGCUCAACCUGGGAACUGCAUUCGAAACUGGCAGGCUAGAGUCUUGUAGAGGGGGGUAGAAUUCCAGGUGUAGCGGUGAAAUGCGUAGAGAUCUGGAGGAAUACCGGUGGCGAAGGCGGCCCCCUGGACAAAGACUGACGCUCAGGUGCGAAAGCGUGGGGAGCAAACAGGAUUAGAUACCCUGGUAGUCCACGCUGUAAACGAUGUCGAUUUGGAGGUUGUGCCCUUGAGGCGUGGCUUCCGGAGCUAACGCGUUAAAUCGACCGCCUGGGGAGUACGGCCGCAAGGUNAAAACUCAAAUGAAUUGACSGGGGCCCGCACAAGCGGUGGAGCAUGUGGUUUANUUCGAUGCAACGCGAANAACCUUACCUGGUCUUGACAUCCACAGANCUUANCARARAUGCUUUGGUGCCUUCGGNAACUGUGARACAGGNGCUGCAUGNCUGUCNUCASCUCGUGUUGUGAAAUGUUGGGUUAAGUCCCGCAACGAGCGCAACCCUUAUCCUUUGUUGCCAGCGGUUAGGCCGGGAACUCAAAGGAGACUGCCAGUGAUAAACUGGAGGAAGGUGGGGAUGACGUCAAGUCAUCAUGGCCCUUACGACCAGGGCUACACACGUGCUACAAUGGCAUAUACAAAGAGAAGCGACCUCGCGAGAGCAAGCGGACCUCAUAAAGUAUGUCGUAGUCCGGAUUGGAGUCUGCAACUCGACUCCAUGAAGUCGGAAUCGCUAGUAAUCGUAGAUCAGAAUGCUACGGUGAAUACGUUCCCGGGCCUUGUACACACCGCCCGUCACACCAUGGGAGUGGGUUGCAAAAGAAGUAGGUAGCUUAACCUUCGGG
This 1396-nucleotide ribosomal RNA is filed under the name Klebsiella variicola. RNAcentral describes it as "partial 16S ribosomal RNA". The record is from RNAcentral. Lineage: Bacteria; Pseudomonadati; Pseudomonadota; Gammaproteobacteria; Enterobacterales; Enterobacteriaceae.